Molecule: ribosomal RNA, 1666 nt
Filed under: Salmonella enterica
Lineage: Bacteria; Pseudomonadati; Pseudomonadota; Gammaproteobacteria; Enterobacterales; Enterobacteriaceae
Description: partial 23S ribosomal RNA
Rfam family: Bacterial large subunit ribosomal RNA
Source: RNAcentral
GGGUUGUGAGGUUAAGCGACUAAGCGUACACGGUGGAUGCCCUGGCAGUCAGAGGCGAUGAAGGGCGUGCUAAUCUGCGAUAAGCGCCGGUAAGGUGAUAUGAACCGUUAUAACCGGCGAUACCCGAAUGGGGAAACCCAGUGUGAUUCGUCACACUAUCAUUAACUGAAUCCAUAGGUUAAUGAGGCGAACCGGGGGAACUGAAACAUCUAAGUACCCCGAGGAAAAGAAAUCAACCGAGAUUCCCCCAGUAGCGGCGAGCGAACGGGGAGGAGCCCAGAGCCUGAAUCAGCAUGUGUGUUAGUGGAAGCGUCUGGAAAGUCGCGCGAUACAGGGUGACAGCCCCGUACACAAAAGCGCAUGUGUUGUGAGCUCGAUGAGUAGGGCGGGACACGUGGUAUCCUGUCUGAAUAUGGGGGGACCAUCCUCCAAGGCUAAAUACUCCUGACUGACCGAUAGUGAACCAGUACCGUGAGGGAAAGGCGAAAAGAACCCCGGCGAGGGGAGUGAAAAAGAACCUGAAACCGUGUACGUACAAGCAGUGGGAGCACAGGUUUACCUGUGUGACUGCGUACCUUUUGUAUAAUGGGUCAGCGACUUAUAUUCUGUAGCAAGGUUAACCGUAUAGGGGAGCCGGAGGGAAACCGAGUCUUAAUUGGGCGUUAAGUUGCAGGGUAUAGACCCGAAACCCGGUGAUCUAGCCAUGGGCAGGUUGAAGGUUGGGUAACACUAACUGGAGGACCGAACCGACUAAUGUUGAAAAAUUAGCGGAUGACCUGUGGCUGGGGGUGAAAGGCCAAUCAAACCGGGAGAUAGCUGGUUCUCCCCGAAAGCUAUUUAGGUAGCGCCUCGUGAAUUCAUCUCCGGGGGUAGAGCACUGUUUCGGCUAGGGGGCCAUCCCGGCUUACCAACCCGAUGCAAACUGCGAAUACCGGAGAAUGUUAUCACGGGAGACACACGGCGGGUGCUAACGUCCGUCGUGAAGAGGGAAACAACCCAGACCGCCAGCUAAGGUCCCAAAGUCAUGGUUAAGUGGGAAACGAUGUGGGAAGGCCCAGACAGCCAGGAUGUUGGCUUAGAAGCAGCCAUCAUUUAAAGAAAGCGUAAUAGCUCACUGGUCGAGUCGGCCUGCGCGGAAGAUGUAACGGGGCUAAACCAUGCACCGAAGCUGCGGCAGCGACACUGUGUGUUGUUGGGUAGGGGAGCGUUCUGUAAGCCUGUGAAGGUGUGUCGUGAGGCAUGCUGGAGGUAUCAGAAGUGCGAAUGCUGACAUAAGUAACGAUAAAGCGGGUGAAAAGCCCGCUCGCCGGAAGACCAAGGGUUCCUGUCCAACGUUAAUCGGGGCAGGGUGAGUCGACCCCUAAGGCGAGGCCGAAAGGCGUAGUCGAUGGGAAACGGGUUAAUAUUCCCGUACUUGGUGUUACUGCGAAGGGGGGACGGAGAAGGCUAUGUUGGCCGGGCGACGGUUGUCCCGGUUUAAGCGUGUAGGUGUGUGUUCCAGGUAAAUCCGGUUCACUUUAACACUGAGGCGUGACGACGAGGCACUACGGUGCUGAAGCAACAAAUGCCCUGCUUCCAGGAAAAGCCUCUAAGCAUCAGGUAACAUCAAAUCGUACCCCAAACCGACACAGGUGGUCAGGUAGAGAAUACCAAGGCGCUUGAGAGA